This 506-nucleotide ribosomal RNA is filed under the name uncultured bacterium. RNAcentral describes it as "partial 16S ribosomal RNA". It matches the Rfam family "Bacterial small subunit ribosomal RNA", at positions 30 to 523 of the family's 1533-position model. The record is from RNAcentral.
AUUGAACGCUGGCGGCAGGCUUAACACAUGCAAGUCGAGCGGUAACAGAGAGAAGCUUGCUUCUCUGCUGACGAGCGGCGGACGGGUGAGUAAUGCCUAGGAAUCUGCCUAGUAGUGGGGGAUAACUUGCCGAAAGGUAAGCUAAUACCGCAUACGUCCUACGGGAGAAAGGAGGGGACCUUCGGGCCUUUCGCUAUUAGAUGAGCCUAGGUCGGAUUAGUUAGUUGGUGAGGUAAUGGCUCACCAAGACCGCGAUCCGUAACUGGUCCGAGAGGAUGAUCAGUCACACUGGAACUGAGACACGGUCCAGACUCCUACGGGAGGCAGCAGUGGGGAAUAUUGGACAAUGGGGAGAACCCUGAUCCAGCCAUGCCGCGUGUGUGAAGAAGGUCUUAGGAUUGUAAAGCACUUUAAGUUGGGAGGAAGAGCAGUUAACUAAUAUUUGACUGUUUUGACGUUACCGACUGAAUAAGCACCGGCUAACUUCGUGCCAGCCGCCGCAGUAA